This 482-nucleotide ribosomal RNA is filed under the name uncultured bacterium. RNAcentral's name for it is "partial 16S ribosomal RNA". It matches the Rfam family "Bacterial small subunit ribosomal RNA", at positions 28 to 507 of the family's 1533-position model. The record is from RNAcentral.
GAUGAACGCUGGCGGCAUGCCUAACACAUGCAAGUCGAACGGAAAGACGACGUCGUUGCCUGGCGAGUGGUGGACGGGCGAGUAAGACAUACGAGCGUGCCCAGACCUUGUGUAUAAGGUAGCGAAAGGUGAGCUAGUACCGCAUACGAUCUAAGAUUUUGAUCCGGGGAGUGCAAGGGUUAGCGACGGUGGUGCGGCCGCUGGUAGAUGAGUUAGUUGUUGAGUUAAAAGUUUACCAAGCCGACGAUUUGUAGCUGAACUGAGAGUACGAGAGGCGACACUGGAACUGAGCCACGGCCCAGACUCCUACGGGAGGCAGCAGUGGGGAAUUUUGGGCAAUGGGCGAAAGCCUGAUCCAGCAAUGCCGCGUGCGGGAUGAAGGCCUUCGGGUUGUAAACUGCUUUUGUGCGGAACGAACAGGUUCUGGCUAAUACGUGGGGCGCAUGACGGUACCGGAAGAAUAAGCACCGGCUAACUACGUG